UGAAUACGAGACGCUAAGGCGUCGAAGUAGUGUAUAUCAGACUUCCAAGAAAAGCUUGCACUGUCAUAGAUAAAAAAUGCCUGUACCAUAACCGACACAGGUGGGUAGGUAGAGUAUACUAAGGGGCGCGAGAUAACUCUCUCUAAGGAACUCGGCAAAAUAACUCCGUAACUUCGGGAGAAGGAGUGCCUUAUUUAUAAGGUUGCAAUAACAAGAUCCAAGCAACUGUUUAUCAAAAACACAGGUCUCCGCUAAGUCGUAAGACGAUGUAUGGGGGCUGACGCCUGCCCAGUGCCAGAAGGUUAAAGAAGUUGGUUAGCAAUUGCGAAGCUGAUAACUGAAGCCCUGGUGAACGGCGGCCGUAACUAUAACGGUCCUAAGGUAGCGAAAUUCCUUGUCGGGUAAGUUCCGACCCGCACGAAAGGCGUAAUGAUUUGGAUACUGUCUCGGAGAGGGGCUCGGUGAAAUAGACUUGUCUGUGAAGAUGCGGACUACCUGCACCAGGACAGAAAGACCCUAUGAAGCUUUACUGUAACUUGAAAUUGAAAUUGGACUUUAUUCGCGCAGCAUAGGUGGGAGGCGUUGAUUAUAAUCUUGCGGGAUUAUUGGAGCCAUCAGUGAGAUACCACUCUUGUAAUGUUAGAUUUCUAACUUUGAAUCAUUAUCUGGUCAAAGAACAGUUUCAGGCGGGCAGUUUGACUGGGGCGGUCGCCUCCUAAAUGGUAACGGAGGCGUACAAAGGUUUCCUCUGAACGGUUAGAAAUCGUAUCUAGAGUGUAAAGGCAUAAGGAAGCUUGACUGUGAGACCUACAAGUCGAGCAGGGACGAAAGUCGGUCUUAGUGAUCUGACGGUACUGAGUGGAAAGGCCGUCACUCAACGGAUAAAAGUUACUCUAGGAUAACAGGCUGAUCUCCCCCAAGAGUUCACAUCGACGGGGAGGUUUGGCACCUCGAUGUCGGCUCAUCGCAUCCUGGGGCGGUAGUACGUCCCAAGGGUUGGGCUGUUCGCCCAUGAAAGCGGUACGCGAGCUGGGUUCAGAACGUCGUGAGACAGUUCGGUCCAUAUCCGGUGUAGGCGUUAGAAUAUUGAGAGGAGCCUUCUUUAGUACGAGAGGACCGAGAAGGACAUACCUCUGGUGUACCAGUUAUCGUGCCAACGGUAAACGCUGGGUAGCUAUGUAUGGAGUGGAUAACCGCUGAAAGCAUCUAAGUGGGAAGCCCACCUCAAGAUAAGUAUUCUC
Molecule: ribosomal RNA, 1241 nt
Filed under: metagenome
Description: bacterial LSU rRNA
Rfam family: Bacterial large subunit ribosomal RNA
Source: RNAcentral